UAAAGAAAGUAAGAAAGGGCGUAUGGCGGAUGCCUAGGCUCACGGAGGCGAUGAAGGACGUGAUAAGCUGCGAUAAGCUUCGGGUAGGUGCAAAUAACCCUUGAUCCGAAGAUUUCCGAAUGGGACAACCUAGCCGUCUGAAGGACGGUUACUCAAUCUUCAAGAUUGAGAGCUAACGCAGGGAACUGAAACAUCUUAGUACCUGCAGGAAGAGAAAAUAAAUUAAUGAUUCCCCCAGUAGUGGCGAGCGAACGGGGAACAGCCCAAACCAGUGGCGUCGCAAGGCGUGGCUGGGGUUGUAGGACCGCGACAUUGUAUGCAAAUCGUGAACAGAACACUUUGGAAAAUGUGACCAUAGAG
This 360-nucleotide ribosomal RNA is filed under the name Segatella copri. RNAcentral's name for it is "bacterial LSU rRNA". It matches the Rfam family "Bacterial large subunit ribosomal RNA", at positions 1 to 362 of the family's 2925-position model. The record is from RNAcentral. Lineage: Bacteria; Pseudomonadati; Bacteroidota; Bacteroidia; Bacteroidales; Prevotellaceae.